UCAAAGUUUUUCGUCUUCUGUUGUUACAUUGGGGUCGAUAAGUUCGCCGUUCUUUACCUCUUCAUCACGUUUUGUAGCUUCAAUUUCCGAACGCAAUUGCUUAUAUUCUGGGCUAUCAUUCCCCACUAUAGUUAGCCAUUUUUAUAAAUGUUUGAUUCAAUUUACCUAUUUUUAUCCCAAAGUGGUUUUGUAGAAUAAAACUGAAAGAUUAGUAUUUUUAUUAUUUUGAGGGAUUGAAUUCUCAGCGCUAUAUUCAAGCUUGGUUUUUUAAUUUUUGAAUUAUACUUACAGCAGAUGCAACACCUAAUGUGCAAGCAAACAAUAAACCCAUGGGACCGCCACGACUCCUUCCGCUCAUCAUGGUGCACUGUAGUCGGAGAGUCCGAAUCAUAAACUGGGAAAUAGAAAGCCAUAUUGGAAAUUAUAUAAUAGCGACUACAAUCAUCAUAGGAUUUACUGAGGAAAUAACAAAACAUGUACACU
Non-coding RNA from Schizosaccharomyces pombe (fission yeast), 483 nucleotides. Lineage: Eukaryota; Fungi; Ascomycota; Schizosaccharomycetes; Schizosaccharomycetales; Schizosaccharomycetaceae. The record is from the annotation of a GenBank genome assembly.